This 253-nucleotide ribosomal RNA is filed under the name uncultured bacterium. Its description in RNAcentral is "partial 16S ribosomal RNA". It matches the Rfam family "Bacterial small subunit ribosomal RNA", at positions 524 to 776 of the family's 1533-position model. The record is from RNAcentral.
UACAGAGGUCCCAAGCGUUGUUCGGAUUCACUGGGCGUAAAGGGUGCAUAGGCGGUCGGGUAAGUCAGUGGUGAAAUCUCCGAGCUUAACUCGGAAACUGCCGUUGAUACUAUUUGUCUUGAAUAUUGUGGAGGUAAGCGGAAUAUGUCAUGUAGCGGUGAAAUGCUUAGAUAUGACAUAGAACACCAAUUGCGAAGGCAGCUUACUACACAACGAUUGACGCUGAGGCACGAAAGCGUGGGGAUCAAACAGG